This 366-nucleotide ribosomal RNA is filed under the name uncultured eukaryote. Its description in RNAcentral is "partial 18S ribosomal RNA". It matches the Rfam family "Eukaryotic small subunit ribosomal RNA", at positions 592 to 976 of the family's 1831-position model. The record is from RNAcentral.
CAAUAGCGUAUAUUAACGUUGUUGCAGUUAAAAAGCUCGUAGUUGGAUUUCUGGAGGGAGCGUCGGCCCGUAUUUACGAGUGCGUGACGUCUCUGUCCAUCCUUGCGGGAAGGCACGGCAUUGAUUUGUUGUGUCGGAUCGCAUCAUUUACUGUGAAAAAAUUAGAGUGUUCAAAGCAGGCUUUCGCUUGAAUACAUUAGCAUGGAAUAAUAAGAUAGGACUUUGGUGCUAUUUUGUUGGUUGAGCCUAAAGUAAUGAUUAAUAGGGAUAGUUGGGGGCACCUGUAUUGCGUUGUCAGAGGUGAAAUUCUUGGAUUUACGCAAGACAAACAGCUGCGAAANGGNNNGCCAAGGAUGUUUUCAUNAA